AUUGAGCGCUGGCGGCAUGCCUUACACAUGCAAGUCGAACGGUAACGGGCCUUCGGGUGCCGACGAGUGGCGAACGGGUGAGUAAUACAUCGGAACGUGCCCGAUCGUGGGGGAUAACGAGGCGAAAGCUUUGCUAAUACCGCAUACGAUCUACGGAUGAAAGCAGGGGACCGCAAGGCCUUGCGCGGACGGAGCGGCCGAUGGCAGAUUAGGUAGUUGGUGGGAUAAAAGCUUACCAAGCCGACGAUCUGUAGCUGGUCUGAGAGGAUGAUCAGCCACACUGGGACUGAGACACGGCCCAGACUCCUACGGGAGGCAGCAGUGGGGAAUUUUGGACAAUGGGCGCAAGCCUGAUCCAGCCAUGCCGCGUGCAGGAUGAAGGCCUUCGGGUUGUAAACUGCUUUUGUACGGAACGAAAAGCCUUCUUUUAAUACAGGAGGGUCAUGACGGUACCGUAAGAAUGAGCACCGGCUAACUACGUG
Molecule: ribosomal RNA, 482 nt
Filed under: uncultured bacterium
Lineage: Bacteria
Description: partial 16S ribosomal RNA
Rfam family: Bacterial small subunit ribosomal RNA
Source: RNAcentral